AAAUCCCAACGGCUCCGGUCGCCUGAAUGGAGCCUCGCUCCCUAUGUCCCGCCCUCCACAGAUCUAAGCCCACCCACUGCCGCUAUGGCGGCCUUCCCGCGGGUCGCGGCGCACUGCGGGUAUGAGUCCAUCGCCUGCAGGGCCUCGCCUUGCGGACGGCCCCUACCUCGCCCCAGGAUCCCUGUCAGGCGCCACAUGUCGUGGCCAGCACCAUAGAGCCUGCAGCCGAGGGAUCGAGGCCCAAAGGACGGGACAGGGACCAGAGUGGCCGCUGCGCAGUCCCCAGCGGCCGAGUCCCCAGCCAGCCAAUCAGCAAGGAGCUCUGCCGGAAGGAUGACGCUCUAGGAAGGAAGUGGCCAUCGGAUGGGGCGGGCUUGGCGCUGGCGAGCCAGAAAAAGGGGGAAAGCGACACCAAGAAUCCAUUCCAAACGAAAAACCAAGAGGAGACGCGGCAGCUCCCAGAUGUUGAUGUUUUGUUUUUUUGACAUAAAUCUUCGCACUCAUAUGGGAGUUUUCAUUGAUUCAUGUUCCCAUCUGCUGAAUUUCCUUUUAUUUAUUUAAUAUUGCUUUUUGGGGAAAUCUUGCUUCGAAGCUCUGGAGAAGCAUAAACCGUGCCAGCCACUGCAGCCCUCCUCCCUCUUGCAAGCCUUGGCUGCUGGGGGCAGGGAGAUGCGGUGGCGUCCUGCAGAGUGGGUGCUGGGCAUCCUCGAGGAGGGGCUGGCGCUGCAAGCCUGCACUAAUGUGGCGAUUCUGUCUCUUCCGAGCCUUCCAGAGGCAGCGGGAGAGGUAGAGUGAGGAAGAGGGGAAGAGAGAGGCAGACUGGCUGACUGUUCCUCAUGCUUUCUGCUCAUCCCCAACACUUCAUACGUCCCUUUUGCACUAAAGUACACUUUGCUUUUGACACCUUGGAUAGUAGGAAACGUUUAACAGUGGGCAUCUAUAUUAAUAAGAUUGUGCCUCUCCCCGUCCAACCAGUACCCUUCCACCUCAAUAGUGAUCCGUCAGUAAUUACAAACUCUAACUCUGGAGUCAGACUAAAAUCUUGUCGACUUUCCAGAGGGAAUUCUUGAACAAAUUUACUUUUUAAGAGCUUUGGGUUUCCU
This 1103-nucleotide long non-coding RNA is filed under the name Mus pahari (shrew mouse). Its description in RNAcentral is "lncRNA (MGP_PahariEiJ_G0004713.1)". The record is from RNAcentral. Lineage: Eukaryota; Metazoa; Chordata; Mammalia; Rodentia; Muridae.